RNAcentral lists this ribosomal RNA (443 nucleotides) under uncultured bacterium. RNAcentral describes it as "partial 16S ribosomal RNA". It matches the Rfam family "Bacterial small subunit ribosomal RNA", at positions 338 to 795 of the family's 1533-position model. The record is from RNAcentral.
CCUACGGUAGGCAGCAGUGGGGAAUAUUGGACAAUAGGGGGAACCCUGAUCCAGCGACGCCGCGUGCGUGAAGAAGUAUUUCGGUAUGUAAAGCUCUAUCAGCAGGGAAGAAAGAAAUGACGGUACCUGACUCAGAAGCCCAGGCUAACUACGUGCCAGCAGCCGCGGUAAUACGUAGGGGGCAAGCGUUCUCCGUAUUUACUGGGUGGAAAGGGAGCGUAGACGGCGAUACAAGUCUGAAGUGAAAGGCGGGGGCCCAAUCCCCGGACUGCUUGGGAAACUGUAUGGCUGGAGUGCAGGAGAGGUAAGUGGAAUUCCGAGUGUAGCGGUGAAAUGCGUAGAGAUCAGGAGGAACACCGGGGGCGAAGGCGGCCUGCUGGACUGCAACUGGCGUUGAGGCCCGAAAGCGUGGGGAGCAAACAGGAUUAGAUACCCCGGUAGUC